GUCCUCUUGAUUAUAUUUUGAGGUCUGGCCUGCUCACUGACAAGUUUUUAAAGAGCCGCGGUAUUUUGACCGUGCAAAGGUAGCAUAAUCAUUAGUCUCUUAAUUAGGGGCUGGAAUGAAUGGCUUGACGAGAAAUUAACUGUCUCUUAUUAAAUUAUAGAAUUUAACUUUUGAGUUAAAAGGCUUAAAUUUUUCUUAAAGACGAGAAGACCCUAUAGAGCUUGACAUUUUAUUUUUAUAUAAUUUUUAGAUAAUCUUUUUAUAUUUAAAGAUAAUGUUUUGUUGGGGUGACAUGAAGAAUAAAUAAACUCUUCAUUAUAAAAUCAUUGAUUUAUGUUUAUUUUGAUCCAUAAUUUAUGAUCAUAAGAUUAAGUUACCUUAGGGAUAACAGCGUAAUUGUUUUUGAGAGCUCAUAUUGACAAAGCAGAUUGCGACCUCGAUGUUGGAUUAAGAAUAAUUUUGGGUGCAGGAGCCCAAUAAUUAGGUCUGUUCGACCUUUAAAUCUU
This 506-nucleotide ribosomal RNA is filed under the name Melanoplus calidus. Its description in RNAcentral is "partial 16S ribosomal RNA". It matches the Rfam family "Archaeal large subunit ribosomal RNA", at positions 1921 to 2665 of the family's 2987-position model. Lineage: Eukaryota; Metazoa; Arthropoda; Insecta; Orthoptera; Acrididae. The record is from RNAcentral. RNAcentral also lists the same sequence under 2 other names.